GAUGAAGAACGUAGCGAAAUGCGAUAAGUAAUGUGAAUUGCAGAAUUCAGUGAAUCAUCGAAUCUUUGAACGCACAUUGCGCCCGCCAGUAUUCUGGCGGGCAUGCCUGUUCGAGCGUCAUUUCAACCCUCAGGCUCCAGUGCCUGGUGUUGGGGAUCGGCAGCAGGGCGUCAAGCCCGCCGGCCCCGAAAUCUAGUGGCGGUCUCGCUGUAGUCCUCCUCUGCGUAGUAGCACAACCUCGCAGUUGGAACGCGGCGGUGGCCAUGCCGUUAAACACCCCACUUCUGAAAGUUGACCUCGGAUCAGGUAGGAAUACCCGCUGAACUUAAGCAUAUCAAUAAGCGGAGGA
RNAcentral lists this unclassified non-coding RNA (349 nucleotides) under soil metagenome. RNAcentral describes it as "partial contains 5.8S ribosomal RNA, internal transcribed spacer 2, and large subunit ribosomal RNA". The stretch from base 1 to 120 matches the Rfam family "5.8S ribosomal RNA", at positions 35 to 154 of the family's 154-position model. The record is from RNAcentral.